Molecule: small RNA, 316 nt
Filed under: Arabidopsis thaliana (thale cress)
Lineage: Eukaryota; Viridiplantae; Streptophyta; Magnoliopsida; Brassicales; Brassicaceae
Description: ATSL239410
Source: RNAcentral
UCAUUUGAUCAAAUAAAAUUAUAUUGGGUUGCUUUAAUUUUCAGCCCUAUACUAGUUGAAAUCUCAACAUUCCACCCUAAACUUUUAGGCACUUGAAAAACCACCAUAAAUAAUUUUAAUCUCGAUAAAACUACAUGUACUUUCGGAUUUGUUCUUAAAACUACGCCUCCAAUUGAACCGACCAGUUAACCGAUAAUUAUACAUCCGGUUUGACUUACCCAUAAUUUAACCGAAACUAAUCCGAUUUUGACUCUAUUUUAGCCUAAUUUUGACCCACACAAAAUGUAAAUAAAUUGUCUUAUUAAGAAGUAAAAGU